GUGUUCCCUGCCCUCACGGGUAGAAACGCCCACCCUUGUAUAAUAUAUCUUGUUGCUUUGGCAGGCCGCCCUCGGGCACCGGCUCCGGCUGGAUCGUGCCUGCCAGAGGACCCAAAACCCUGAAUAUUAGUGUCGUCUGAGUAAAAAGUUUAAUAUUUAAAACUUUCAACAACGGAUCUCUUGGCUCU
Molecule: unclassified non-coding RNA, 188 nt
Filed under: rhizosphere metagenome
Description: partial ribosomal RNA internal transcribed spacer region
Source: RNAcentral